UAACACUACAACAAAUAACUAUAUUAAUAACAUAAGAAAUUGACAUUAUCAAAAAAAAAAAGCUACAAUAAAGAAACGUUAAAAGAAAACUAAAUAAAAGAGGGGGCUUUAUUUUGGGGGGUAAAGUUUCAUUAUCCCGCCAUUUUUUUGGGUCACUUAAGCUUACCAAAAGAAAGACUUAGAAAGACAAAAGAAUCCUACACUAAACUAUACCGCCUCCCCCAUUUCUGCAAUGAAUCCAGUUAUGAAGCAGCGAGUACCAAUGAUUUUCCUAUUGCAGUUUGUAUGGUUAAACUAAUCUCCUUGUUGCAGUUUGUAUCGUUAAACUAAUCUCCCGACUUCAUGACUGUCGACGGUCUCACUGGCGAUUGGAAAGACAUUGAUGGAUUUGAGUUCCCUCUCCUCCCUGCUUUCGACCCAGAUGCCGAAGAUGACUGCAAAGAAGGAGAUUGAGUAUGAAGAACUUGAAAAAAUUGGUGAAAGCUGCAAAUAUUAAUAGAAAGGGUUGCAGAAAUCUAGAAGGUUGAAGCUGCAGUUCUGUACAGAAAAGAGCCUCCUACGCGUCAAGAUCUUCUAAACACAAAAGAAGGUUUUUUUUUUUAUCAUAAUUAAUGAGUACCCUCUUUUAAUAAGAAAUUGCUCUUGACUAUCUAAAGUUGUGGUGUUUCUUUAUGACACUUGAUUGAGAGUUGUGAAUAAGAAAGACUAUUGUAGCUUCUAAGAGAACAAGGCUUAUAAAAUUUGGGUGGAAAGAAGAAAUGAAAUCUCUUUGCAGAUAUAGGCAGAAGAAGUUCCAAAAACAGAGGAUUGACACUACUCAAAUGUGGACGAUUAGAAGCUUGCCUGGGCCAAAAUCAUUAACUGCAUAUUACAAAAACUGAAAGUAGUGCAGACUUGCAGAGAUGGCCCUUCUUUAAGUAAGGAGCAAAUUCUAUUUCUUUGAAGUAUGUUCCCAGCAACUUGUAGUUCUUUGACUCCAAGAUAUGAAAAAUUCGAUCACAGGAAUAUAGAACCUUACCUGAUAAGUUAAAAGUCAUAAAAGCACAAAUAGGAGCUCAAUACUCACAUCAGGAUUGAGGUCAAGUCUCAAACAACCAUUGAUUGAUGAAUGUUGAAUUUCUAUAUUUUAACUAAGAUUAUCAUAAGUUUUUGUUUUUCAUUUUGUCCCGGCCCCACGCAAUCUAUAUUGUAUAUGAUACAUUUAUCUUUUUGUGUUGUUACACUUAACAGUCUAGAUAAGCUGCUGUCUUAAACAUAUAAUAGACCAUACUCAUAAUCUUCA
Molecule: long non-coding RNA, 1282 nt
Organism: Humulus lupulus (European hop)
Lineage: Eukaryota; Viridiplantae; Streptophyta; Magnoliopsida; Rosales; Cannabaceae
Exons: 4
Source: RefSeq, a predicted model, not a curated record